Molecule: transfer RNA, 72 nt
Filed under: Plasmodium gaboni
Lineage: Eukaryota; Apicomplexa; Aconoidasida; Haemosporida; Plasmodiidae
Also listed under: 1 other name
Description: tRNA Glutamine
Rfam family: tRNA (bases 16-72)
About the family: Transfer RNA (tRNA) molecules are approximately 80 nucleotides in length. Their secondary structure includes four short double-helical elements and three loops (D, anti-codon, and T loops). Further hydrogen bonds mediate the characteristic L-shaped molecular structure. tRNAs have two regions of fundamental functional importance: the anti-codon, which is responsible for specific mRNA codon recognition, and the 3' end, to which the tRNAs corresponding amino acid is attached (by aminoacyl-tRNA synthetases). tRNAs cope with the degeneracy of the genetic code in two manners: having more than one tRNA (with a specific anti-codon) for a particular amino acid; and 'wobble' base-pairing, i.e. permitting non-standard base-pairing at the 3rd anti-codon position.
Source: RNAcentral
GAAUUAUGUGCAUAAGGUUUCGUAGUGUAGUGGUUAGCACUGAGGACUUUGAAUCCUCCAACCCGGGUUCGA